RNAcentral lists this ribosomal RNA (332 nucleotides) under uncultured bacterium. Its description in RNAcentral is "bacterial SSU rRNA". It matches the Rfam family "Bacterial small subunit ribosomal RNA", at positions 28 to 334 of the family's 1533-position model. The record is from RNAcentral.
GAUGAACGCGUGGCGGCGUGCUUAACACAUGCAAGUCGAGCGGAAGCGACUUAAAGGUUUGAUUCUUCGGAUGAAGACUUUUGUGACUGAGCGGGCGGACGGGUGAGUAACGCGUGGGUAACCUGCCUCAUACAGGGGGAUAACAGUUAGAAAUGACUGCUAAUACCGCAUAAGACCACAGGGUCGCAUGACCCGGUGGUCAAAGGAGCAAUCCGGUUUGAGAUGGGCUCGCGUCCGAUUAGCUAGUUGGUGAGAUAACGGCCCACCAAGGCGACGAUCGGUAGCCGACCUGAGAGGGUGAUCGGCCACAUUGGAACUGAGAAACGGUCCAG